Molecule: ribosomal RNA, 254 nt
Filed under: uncultured bacterium
Lineage: Bacteria
Description: partial 16S ribosomal RNA
Rfam family: Bacterial small subunit ribosomal RNA
Source: RNAcentral
UACGGGGGGAGCAAGCGUUGUUCGGAUUUACUGGGCGUAAAGGGCGCGUAGGCGGUCAGCACAAGUCAGUUGUGAAAUCUCCGGGCUUAACUCGGAAAGGUCAACUGAUACUGUGCGACUAGAGUGCGGAAGGGGCAACUGGAAUUCUCGGUGUAGCGGUGAAAUGCGUAGAUAUCGAGAGGAACACCGGUGGCGAAGGCGGGUCUCUGGGCCGUAACUGACGCUGAGGAGCGAAAGCGUGGGGAGCGAACAGG